UGCGUAGGCGGACUAAUAAGUCAGUGGUGAAAUCUUUCGGCUCAACCGGGAAACUGCCAUUGAUACUGUUAGUCUUGAGUUCGGUUGAGGUAGGCGGAAUGUGUAAUGUAGCGGUGAAAUGCUUAGAUAUUACACAGAACACCAAUUGCGUAGGCAGCUUACUAGACCGACACUGACGCUGAGGCACGAAAGCGUGGGUAGCGAACAGGAUUAGAUACCCUGGUAGUCC
Molecule: ribosomal RNA, 229 nt
Filed under: uncultured bacterium
Lineage: Bacteria
Description: partial 16S ribosomal RNA
Rfam family: Bacterial small subunit ribosomal RNA
Source: RNAcentral